UACGGAGGGUGCAAGCGUUAAUCGGAAUUACUGGGCGUAAAGGGCUCGUAGGCGGCCAACUAAGUCGGAUGUGAAAUCCCCGGGCUCAACCUGGGAACUGCAUUUGUGACUGCACGGCUGGAGUGCGGCAGAGGGGGAUGGAAUUCCGCGUGUAGCAGUGAAAUGCGUAGAUAUGCGGAGGAAUACCGAUGGCGAAGGCAAUCCCCUGGGCCUGCACUGACGCUCAUGCACGAAAGCGUGGGGAGCGAACGGG
RNAcentral lists this ribosomal RNA (253 nucleotides) under uncultured bacterium. Its description in RNAcentral is "partial 16S ribosomal RNA". It matches the Rfam family "Bacterial small subunit ribosomal RNA", at positions 524 to 776 of the family's 1533-position model. The record is from RNAcentral.